GACGAACGCUGGCGGCGUGCUUAACACAUGCAAGUCGAACGGAAAGGCCCUGCUCUUGUGGGGUGCUCGAGUGGCGAACGGGUGAGUAACACGUGAGUAACCUGCCCCUGACUUUGGGAUAACUUCAGGAAACUGGGGCUAAUAUCGGAUAGGAGCUCCUGCUGCAUGGUGGGGGUUGGAAAGUUUCGGCGGUUGGGGAUGGACUCGCGGCUUAUCAGCUUGUUGGUGGGGUAGUGGCUUACCAAGCCUUUGACGGGUAGCCGGCCUGAGAGGGUGACCGGCCACAUUGGGACUGAGAUACGGCCCAGACUCCUACGGGAGGCAGCAGUGGGGAAUAUUGCACAAUGGGCGGAAGCCUGAUGCAGCAACGCCGCGUGCGGGAUGACGGCCUUCGGGUUGUAAACCGCUUUCGCCUGUGACGAAGCGUGAGUGACGGUAAUGGGUAAAGAAGCACCGGCUAACUACGUG
This 468-nucleotide ribosomal RNA is filed under the name uncultured bacterium. RNAcentral describes it as "partial 16S ribosomal RNA". It matches the Rfam family "Bacterial small subunit ribosomal RNA", at positions 28 to 507 of the family's 1533-position model. The record is from RNAcentral.